CGAGCAAGGCCGCGUGAACGAUGAAGUACUUCGGUAUGUAAAGUUCUUUUAUUGAAGAAGAAAAAAUAGUGGAAAAACUAUCUUGACGCUAUUCAAUGAAUAAGCCCCGGCAAACUAUGUGCCAGCAGCCGCGGUAAUACAUAGGGGGCAAGCGUUAUCCGGAAUUAUUGGGCGUAAAGGGUGCGUAGACUGUUUAAUAAGUCUAUAGUUUAAUUUCAGUGCUUAACACUGUCCUGCUAUAGAAACUAUUAGACUAGAGUGAGAUAGAGGUAAGCGGAAUUCCAUGUGUAGCGGUAAAAUGCGUAAAUAUAUGGAGGAACACCAGAGGCGUAGGCGGCUUACUGGGUCUUUACUGACGUUGAGGCACGAAAGCGUGGGGAGCAAACAGGAUUAGAUACCCUGGUAGUCCACGCUGUAAACGAUGAGUACUAAGUGUCGGGGAAACUCGGUACUGAAGUUAACACAUUAAGUACUCCGCCUGAGUAGUACGUACGCAAGUAUGAAACUUAAAGGAAUUGACGGGACUCCGCACAAGCGGUGGAUCAUGUUGUUUAAUUCGAAGAUACACGAAAAACCUUACCAGGUCUUGACAUACUCUGCAAAGCUAUAGCAAUAUAGUGGAGGUUAUCAGGGAUACAGGUGGUGCAUGGUUGUCGUCAGCUCGUGUCGUGAGAUGUUAGGUUAAGUCCUAAAACGAGCGCAACCCUUAUCGUUAGUUACCAGCAUGUUAUGAUGGGUACUUUAACGAGACUGCCAAUGAA
This 761-nucleotide ribosomal RNA is filed under the name Candidatus Phytoplasma oryzae. RNAcentral describes it as "bacterial SSU rRNA". It matches the Rfam family "Bacterial small subunit ribosomal RNA", at positions 388 to 1159 of the family's 1533-position model. The record is from RNAcentral. Lineage: Bacteria; Bacillati; Mycoplasmatota; Mollicutes; Acholeplasmatales; Acholeplasmataceae.